AAAAAUCUUACUUCACUGCAAUGGGUACAUUCAUUUUUUAAUGAAAAUUUUUAAAUUGAUGGAAAAUUUAAAGAUCAAAUACUAAUGUUACUAGGUCAAUAAAGCUUGAAUUGUGCAAUUAAGAAAAAAGGAGAGUAUCAGAAACUUAUAAACAGUUAAGGUGAUGAAUUCUAAAGUUACGGUAAACUAACCAAUGCCACGUCAUGCAGACUUGAGCAGGAAUUAUAAGCUUUUUAUAUACUGCUAAGAAAAAGAAAUAUUUCUUGUUUAACAUCCAGUUGCCAUACCUAAAGAAAACAUUUCUCUUUGAUGUAUUCACUAGAUUAAUUGCUGCAUUUGGUUUAGUAAGAAAUUUUGUAUGCCAAGGGAAAAUAAUAAAUUGAUAAAUAUGUACAUACUUGAA
Molecule: long non-coding RNA, 403 nt
Organism: Phyllostomus discolor (pale spear-nosed bat)
Lineage: Eukaryota; Metazoa; Chordata; Mammalia; Chiroptera; Phyllostomidae
Exons: 2
Source: RefSeq, a predicted model, not a curated record